This 29-nucleotide non-coding RNA is filed under the name Mus musculus (house mouse). Lineage: Eukaryota; Metazoa; Chordata; Mammalia; Rodentia; Muridae. The record is from RNAcentral.
UGAAAAGUUAGGGUUUUGCCUUGGGUCAC